RNAcentral lists this ribosomal RNA (254 nucleotides) under uncultured bacterium. Its description in RNAcentral is "partial 16S ribosomal RNA". It matches the Rfam family "Bacterial small subunit ribosomal RNA", at positions 524 to 776 of the family's 1533-position model. The record is from RNAcentral.
UACGUAGGCAGCGAGCGUUGUUCGGAGUUACUGGGCGUAACGGGUGUGUAGGCGGUUGUUUACGUUUGGUGUGAAAUCUCCCGGCUCAACUGGGAGGGUGCGCCGAAUACUGAAUGACUUGGAGUGCGGGAGAGGAAAGUGGAAUUCCUGGUGUAGCGGUGAAAUGCGUAGAUAUCAGGAGGAACACCGGUGGUGUAGACGGCUUUCUGGACCGUAACUGACGCUGAGACACGAAAGCGUGGGUAGCAAACAGG